CUGUUAUAAAAAAUAUACUGAAUAGUUCUGCUAAACAGGGUGUUUUUCUGUGCAUGAAAACUAAGACAGAAUGUCCUGCAGAAUUCAAAACUGGUACAAAAGAGGUCUCUUUUCUUACAUGAGAUAAAUAAUGUAAGAAAAUUAACAUUAGUAUAUUCAGAAGUAAUAACUAUUUUUAUUUACUCUGACAGAGACAAGAUAUCUUCUGUGAGUUCAUAGCAGCAUUUUCAAUAUAGAAGACAGUAGUGAUUCCAUGCUGGCUCUAUGAAUCAUGAACCCUUUCUGUUUUAAUUUGUGAGCACAAAAUAUUUGUGAACCUGAAUUCCAUUACAUUUGCAAAUGUAUUUUACUGGAUGAAGUACUGCCUUAUGCAAUUUACACCUCCAUUGCCUGUAAAAAUAGUGCAAUCCAAAAGGACACCAGUGAGAGCUAUGGCAUAGUAAAUAAGGCAUGGUGUACUCCUUUGAACUUCAUAUAUUGCAUAUACAUUUUAGAUGAGUUCUGCUUCAUCUUAGAAAAGUUGGGAGAUGCCUUGAGGAAAAACAAUGGUAAUGCCUGGAAAAAAUGCAGAAGUGUGGUGAAGAAGGCAGGUAAUCACUUUCUUUAAAUUUUUGCUUAGAAAUGAUAAAUUCAAGCCUAUGACUACACCAUUAUCUUAAAGAAUGCUUAGUUAAAGUUACUGAAUCUUGUAUGCAGUGCUGGCUCCCUCAUCCCCUUGCUCUCCAACCAUGGUUCCUG
This 738-nucleotide long non-coding RNA is filed under the name Parus major (Great Tit). RNAcentral's name for it is "lncRNA (ENSPMJG00000001720.1)". Lineage: Eukaryota; Metazoa; Chordata; Aves; Passeriformes; Paridae. The record is from RNAcentral.